This 222-nucleotide long non-coding RNA is filed under the name Gossypium raimondii (Peruvian cotton). RNAcentral describes it as "long non-coding RNA (GRAI_LNC009129)". Lineage: Eukaryota; Viridiplantae; Streptophyta; Magnoliopsida; Malvales; Malvaceae. The record is from RNAcentral.
GCUAAAAACGCAAUUUACCCCUCCUCUCAAAAACACGCGGAUCCUAGGCCGGGUCGGGUCGGAGUCGGGUCGGCUUACCCAAAACGACGCCUUUUUGGGCGAAUGAGGGCUCUCCAAAACGACGCCGUUUUGGUACCCUAUAAAUACCCCCAAUCUUCCAAAAAAAUCAUUUGAAACCCUUUUUUAAAAAAAACAAAAAAACCUUAAAGAAACACUCUCCCC